Molecule: unclassified non-coding RNA, 326 nt
Filed under: Inocybe sp.
Lineage: Eukaryota; Fungi; Basidiomycota; Agaricomycetes; Agaricales; Inocybaceae
Description: partial contains 5.8S ribosomal RNA, internal transcribed spacer 2, and large subunit ribosomal RNA
Rfam family: 5.8S ribosomal RNA (bases 1-53)
Source: RNAcentral
GAACGCACCUUGCGCUCCUUGGUAUUCCGAGGAGCAUGCCUGUUUGAGUGUUAUGAAAUUCUCAACUGCCCCAGGCUUUGUGGCCUGCAGGUGAAGUUGGACUUGGAGGUAUUAUGCUGGCGCAUGAAUGGGCUUUUGCGGCCACUGCCUUGCUUGUUGGCUCCUCUUGAAUGGAUGAGCUUUCCAAUCCUUGGCAAAGUAUCGUCGAUGUGAUAAUUGUCUACGUCGCCCGAGAAAGCCGAAAGGGGAAAUCUUUGAUCACGCCAGGGUGACCUGCGUCUGACAAAUUCGACCUCAAAUCAGGUAGGACUACCCGCUGAACUUAA